CCUACGGGAGGCAGCAGUGGGGAAUAUUGGACAAUGGGCGCAAGCCUGAUCCAGCAAUGCCGCGUGGAUGAUGAAGGCCUUAGGGUUGUAAAGUCCUUUCGGCGGGGAGGCGGUACCCGCAGAAGAAGCCCCGGCUAACUUCGUGCCAGCAGCCGCGGUAAUACGAAGGGGGCUAGCGUUGUUCGGAAUUACUGGGCGUAAAGGGCGCGUAGGCGGCCCUCCAAGUCAGAUGUGAAAGCCCCGGGCUUAACCUGGGAAUUGCAUUUGAGACUGAAGGGCUUGAGUUUCGGAGAGGUGGGUGGAAUUCCCAGUGUAGAGGUGAAAUUCGUAGAUAUUGGGAAGAACACCGGUGGCGAAGGCGGCCCACUGGCGACACUGACGCUGAGGCGCGAAAGCGUGGGGAGCAAACAGGAUUAGAUACCCUUGUAGUC
Molecule: ribosomal RNA, 431 nt
Filed under: uncultured bacterium
Lineage: Bacteria
Description: partial 16S ribosomal RNA
Rfam family: Bacterial small subunit ribosomal RNA
Source: RNAcentral